UCAAAAUUGAAGUUUCUAAAGCAAAUUAUUGUCAUCACAAUAGUUUUCCUUUAAAAAAAAAAUCGAGUUUCAGUACCUGGAUUGAAUAUAACUCUAGUACAAGACUAAAUUUCAUUGAUAGCAGAAUCCAGUACUCAAUAAGAACAGAAUCAAGUACUUGGGACACGGUAGAAUAACUGCCUCCUGAUUCAGCCAUUGUUUAAGUCAAGUCACAAAUCAAGAAACAUUAACUGUAACUUCUGGGAUUCGCCAACAAGAAGCUAAUUUUUUUGUUAAAUCCUCCUCCAUUACUGCAGUUAAACCACAAAUACCACAAAAAAAUUCUGAGGGUAAAUGCCCUGUAUCUACACCUGCUAAGAUUUCAGUUAUUAAAUCCUCAUUACACUCUAUUUAUUGAUUGAAAUUUUAUUGUCUCACAAUGGAAAAAUGACAAUUUUAUUUCUUUUGUAUGUGAGAAGGAAAUAAAAUUAAAAUAUAUUGGAUUAUAUAAAACUAAAACCCUUUAAAAAUAAAUUUAAGAUUUAUCUUUA
Molecule: long non-coding RNA, 530 nt
Organism: Anthonomus grandis grandis
Lineage: Eukaryota; Metazoa; Arthropoda; Insecta; Coleoptera; Curculionidae
Exons: 2
Source: RefSeq, a predicted model, not a curated record